RNAcentral lists this ribosomal RNA (460 nucleotides) under uncultured bacterium. RNAcentral describes it as "partial 16S ribosomal RNA". It matches the Rfam family "Bacterial small subunit ribosomal RNA", at positions 338 to 795 of the family's 1533-position model. The record is from RNAcentral.
CCUACGGGUGGCAGCAGUGAGGAAUAUUGGUCAAUGGACGAGAGUCUGAACCAGCCAUGCAGCGUGAAGGAUGACUGCCCUAUGGGUUGUAAACUUCUUUUAUAAAGGAAUAAACCGAGGCACGUGUACCUUUUUGCAAGUACUUUAUGAAUAAGGAUCGGCUAACUCCGUGCCAGCAGCCGCGGUAAUACGGAGGAUCCGAGCGUUAUCCGGAUUUAUUGGGUUUAAAGGGAGCGUAGGUGGGUUGUUAAGUCAGUUGUGAAAGGUUGCGGCUCAACCGUGAAAUUGCAAUUGAUACUGGCAGUCUUGAGUACAGUUGAGGUAGGCGGAAUUCGUGGUGUAGCGGUGAAAUGCUUAGAGAUCACGCAGAACCCCGAUUGCGAAGGCAGCUUACUAAACUGUAACUGACAUUGAUGCUCGAAAGUGUGGGUAGCAAACAGGAUUAGAUACCCGUGUAGUC